GUCGAAGAAGAAUUGGGCUUUUGGAAGAGGCUGGCGGGCUUUUGGAAGAGGCGGGCGAGCUGUUGGCGUGGAGAGAACGAAGAAAGCGAAGUCAACAGAGAGACGGGUUUUAUGAGGAAACAUGGACAAAAAGUAUGCACCAAAUCACCAACAGAAGACAGACAAGCUCUAUGCAGUAAAUGUGAGGCUAGGCUUGCGGCAGCAGUAGUGGGGAGAGAUGAACGGUCUCCGUUGAAGAGGAGUCAGACUAACAAACGCUGACAACGGGCUGCAGAUUUUCGGAGCGGAGACGGGAACGUGGA
Molecule: long non-coding RNA, 302 nt
Organism: Anguilla anguilla (European eel)
Lineage: Eukaryota; Metazoa; Chordata; Actinopteri; Anguilliformes; Anguillidae
Exons: 3
Source: RefSeq, a predicted model, not a curated record